RNAcentral lists this ribosomal RNA (207 nucleotides) under uncultured bacterium. RNAcentral describes it as "partial 16S ribosomal RNA". It matches the Rfam family "Bacterial small subunit ribosomal RNA", at positions 568 to 774 of the family's 1533-position model. The record is from RNAcentral.
CGUGUAGGCGGAGAUGCAAGUCAGAUGUGAAAUCCUCGGGCUUAACCCGGGAACUGCAUUUGAAACUGUAUCCCUUGAGUAUCGGAGAGGCAGGCGGAAUUCCUAGUGUAGCGGUGAAAUGCGUAGAUAUUAGGAGGAACACCAGUGGCGAAGGCGGCCUGCUGGACGACAACUGACGCUGAGGCGCGAAAGCGUGGGGAGCAAACA